UACGUAGGGUGCAAGCGUUGUCCGGAAUCAUUGGGCGUAAAGCGCGUGUAGGCGGCCCGGUAAGUCCGCUGUGAAAGUCCAGGGCUCAACCCUGGGAUGCCGGUGGAUACUGUCGGGCUCGAGUCCGGAAGAGGAGUGUGGAAUUCCUGGUGUAGCGGUGAAAUGCGCAGAUAUCAGGAAGAACACCCGUGGCUAAGGCGGCUCUCUAGUACGGUACUGACGCUGAGACGCGAAAGCGUGGGGAGCGAACAGG
RNAcentral lists this ribosomal RNA (253 nucleotides) under uncultured bacterium. RNAcentral's name for it is "partial 16S ribosomal RNA". It matches the Rfam family "Bacterial small subunit ribosomal RNA", at positions 524 to 776 of the family's 1533-position model. The record is from RNAcentral.